This is a long non-coding RNA of Triticum dicoccoides, 1367 nucleotides long. RefSeq lists it as uncharacterized. The record is from RefSeq and is a predicted model, not a curated record. Lineage: Eukaryota; Viridiplantae; Streptophyta; Magnoliopsida; Poales; Poaceae. The transcript has 2 exons.
GCCCCAACCACCACAACGCUCCACCCUCCCACCACCUAUCGGGAUCCGCCCCGGGGACAAUGGGGAUGACCCUCCCGACCACCGCGGCGCCACGCACACAACCAACUGCCCCCACCUCCUCCAACCAUCGCUUCUUCCCCGCCGGCAACCAAAUCGCUUCCUGCCGGCCGCCCCCAUGCUCUGCCCCGAUGCCCCACCUCUCCCUCCCCUGCCUCCUCGAAACCCACCCAACUACCAACGAUUGGUCACGCCGCCGAGCCCGAACAACGAAUCCCCACCUCGGUGGUCGCCGGGUUCACGCCAGAUCCACACCCUCUCCGGCGGGUUGUCCUACCUGCGGACAAAGGACACCGGCGGUAGUAGCCAGCACAACCUCUCCUUCGGCCGGCCCCGGGUACAUCCACGAGGGCGCCGACGUGGGGCAGCAGGGCCGGCACCUCUAAUUGAGGAUCAAGCGCGAGGAUAAUAGUAUGAUGUCGCCCGACGCGACCCUGCGCCUGUCGGGACCCGUGCGUGGCCAGCGGCGCUCCCCAAUUGUUCCUCUCUGCCAUGGAUCCACGGUGGGGCAGCACGACCAUGCAGGCUGGCAUGCGCGCGCAUGCAGUACAGUUGUGGGGGCAACGCAGCUCGUGUAUUCCUUCAGCCAGCGGCGCGUGCAGUUCGCUCCGAGCUUGGGCAUCUCUUUUUGAUGCAGCCUCGGUUCCUCCUCUCGGAUGCUUGUAGUACAACCCACCCGAGAACCUCAGGUGUUUUAGUCCUCAGCGAGCAAACAUGCAGUGCUGCUGAUGCAGCUCAUUCCCACCUAAUGAGCAACUAUAGCAGCGUUGGUGUACGUUGACCUCACUACCUCUCGGCUCUAUUGCAGCCUGACGAGUGGACGAGAAGAGUUGCUCUCUUUCCAUGGCCCAUCCACCUCGUUGGCUCACUGCCACGACGAUAAAGAUUUUCCGUGUGCAGUACAUUGUUUUUGUUGUUUUUCUGAGGAGAAAUCAAAGUGCAAAUGUAGUUAACUUUUUUUGUAAUUUCCUAGGGAACUAGAAGUUCAUAUUUCCUUUUAGGAAAAAUUCACUGUCUCUUGGAUAGGUUCGCUCCUCUAUCUGUUGCGGCUCACUUUGUUCCUUGUGAUGCAAAACACAAAAGACACAAAGAAAAUGACUGCUGGUAGGAUGGAACAAAGCGGUUCGUUUCAGUGAGGUUCACUCCAUGAAAAAUAUGCGGUUGGCCUUGUAAUAUUUUUUAUUAGCAUUAGAACAGGCAGCGCACAAAUGAUGCAGUAUGGCUAGUUCCAGCGUGCGGACCCUCAUAAGAGUUCACCUUGUAAUAUACGGCUUGCCUUGUACUAUUUUUAUUAAAAAAAUGUAUGUUUA